UCUUAAAUAUAUGCUAAUUCAGAGAUGCAUAGCUCAUUGUUGCAUCCGCUCAGAUUGAUAGCCGGACCAACUACUCAAAACCGCAGCUUAGCCAACUACUUAAAUUGCUAGCACAAUUAUUUAUCUAAGUUGGCAGGCCAAUAUGAGUCAAUAAAUCCAUGCCACAUCAUAAUGCCCAUCAAUAUAUGUGUGCGUAACAAGAAAAGAAGUCCCAAUAUUGUUGAUAGGGCUACAAGGUCACUAUAAUUCAUAGGCUAGUUGGAUUCUCAGAUUCAAUAAUUGGUGCUUAUGAAGUUUAGUCUUGCC
This 306-nucleotide long non-coding RNA is filed under the name Elaeis guineensis (African oil palm). RNAcentral's name for it is "long non-coding RNA (EGUI_LNC020889)". Lineage: Eukaryota; Viridiplantae; Streptophyta; Magnoliopsida; Arecales; Arecaceae. The record is from RNAcentral.